GGAGCAAGUAAAUGUCAUUUCAAGAGAACCUGUGGACUUCAGGUAUUGAAUACGUUUAUGAUGUACCUGGUUUGUAUUAUCUGGAUAGGGGCAUUUGUUAGUCUCUUUGGAUGUUUUGUUUUAAUUGUGUUUUGAAGGUUGUGUUGUAUACCGGCUGGUUAUAGGCUGACGUUAGUUAGUAAAUCGGUUAGCUUGUACUUAAAAGCCUA
RNAcentral lists this unclassified non-coding RNA (209 nucleotides) under Hevea brasiliensis (rubber tree). The record is from RNAcentral. Lineage: Eukaryota; Viridiplantae; Streptophyta; Magnoliopsida; Malpighiales; Euphorbiaceae.